This 252-nucleotide ribosomal RNA is filed under the name uncultured bacterium. RNAcentral's name for it is "partial 16S ribosomal RNA". It matches the Rfam family "Bacterial small subunit ribosomal RNA", at positions 524 to 776 of the family's 1533-position model. The record is from RNAcentral.
UACGGGGGGGCAAGCGUUGUUCGGAAUUACUGGGCGUAAAGGGCGCGUAGGCGGUUGGAUAAGUCAGCUGUGAAAUCCCCGAGCUCAACUCGGGAACUGCGUCCGAUACUGGCAGGCUUGAAUCCGGGAGAGGGAUGCGGAAUUCCAGGUGUAGCGGUGAAAUGCGUAGAUAUCUGGAGGAACACCGGUGGCGAAGGCGGCAUCCUGGACCGGCAUUGACGCUGAGGCGCGAAAGCCAGGGGAGCAAACGGG